AUUGAACGCUGGCGGCAGGCUUAACACAUGCAAGUCGAGCGGGGGAAGGUAGCUUGCUACCGGACCUAGCGGCGGACGGGUGAGUAAUGCUUAGGAAUCUGCCUAUUAGUGGGGGACAACAUCUCGAAAGGGAUGCUAAUACCGCAUACGUCCUACGGGAGAAAGCAGGGGAUCUUCGGACCUUGCGCUAAUAGAUGAGCCUAAGUCGGAUUAGCUAGUUGGUGGGGUAAAGGCCUACCAAGGCGACGAUCUGUAGCGGGUCUGAGAGGAUGAUCCGCCACAGUGGGACUGAGACACGGCCCAGACUCCUACGGGAGGCAGCAGUGGGGAAUAUUGGACAAUGGGGGGAACCCUGAUCCAGCCGUGCCGCGUGUGUGAAGAAGGCCUUAUGGUUGUAAAGCACUUUAAGCGAGGAGGAGGCUACUUUAGUUAAUACCUAGAGAUAGUGGACGUUACUCGCAGAAUAAGCACCGGCUAACUCUGUGCCAGCCGCCGCGGUAA
RNAcentral lists this ribosomal RNA (501 nucleotides) under uncultured bacterium. RNAcentral describes it as "partial 16S ribosomal RNA". It matches the Rfam family "Bacterial small subunit ribosomal RNA", at positions 30 to 523 of the family's 1533-position model. The record is from RNAcentral.